UACGUAGGGUGCAAGCGUUAUCCGGAUUUACUGGGCGUAAAGGGUUGCGUAGGCGGUUUGAUAAGUCAAAACUCAAAUCUUCAUGCUUAACAUGAAACCGGGUUUUGAUACUAUUAAACUUUUGAGUUUUGGAGAGGUUGCCGGAACUUGCAGUGGAGCGGUGAAAUGCGUUGAUAUUGCAAGGAACACCGAUGGCGUAGGCAGGCAACUGGCCAAUUACUGACGCUGAUGCACGAAAGCUAGGGGAGCGAAAGGG
Molecule: ribosomal RNA, 256 nt
Filed under: uncultured bacterium
Lineage: Bacteria
Description: partial 16S ribosomal RNA
Rfam family: Bacterial small subunit ribosomal RNA
Source: RNAcentral